This 512-nucleotide ribosomal RNA is filed under the name uncultured bacterium. RNAcentral's name for it is "partial 16S ribosomal RNA". It matches the Rfam family "Bacterial small subunit ribosomal RNA", at positions 28 to 507 of the family's 1533-position model. The record is from RNAcentral.
GACGAACGCUGGCGGCGUGCCUAAUACAUGCAAGUCGAGCGAGCGGAACUAACAGAUUUACUUCGGUAAUGACGUUAGGACAGCGAGCGGCGGAUGGGUGAGUAACACGUGGGGAACCUGCCCCAUAGUCUGGGAUACCACUUGGAAACAGGUGCUAAUACCGGAUAAGAAAGCAGAUCGCAUGAUCAGCUUUUAAAAGGCGGCGUAAGCUGUCGCUAUGGGAUGGCCCCGCGGUGCAUUAGCUAGUUGGUAAGGUAAAGGCUUACCAAGGCGAUGAUGCAUAGCCGAGUCGAGAGACUGAUCGGCCACAUUGGGACUGAGACACGGCCCAAACUCCUACGGGAGGCAGCAGUAGGGAAUCUUCCACAAUGGACGCAAGUCUGAUGGAGCAACGCCGCGUGAGUGAAGAAGGUUUUCGGAUCGUAAAGCUCUGUUGUUGGUGAAGAAGGAUAGAGGUAGUAACUGGCCGUUAUUUGACGGUAAUCAACCAGAAAGUCACGGCUAACUACGUG